This 23-nucleotide microRNA is filed under the name Callorhinchus milii (elephant shark). RNAcentral describes it as "eshark_NOVEL_293". Lineage: Eukaryota; Metazoa; Chordata; Chondrichthyes; Chimaeriformes; Callorhinchidae. The record is from RNAcentral.
GAUACAGCCCAGGAAACCCCUCU